This 305-nucleotide ribosomal RNA is filed under the name uncultured bacterium. RNAcentral's name for it is "bacterial SSU rRNA". It matches the Rfam family "Bacterial small subunit ribosomal RNA", at positions 335 to 657 of the family's 1533-position model. The record is from RNAcentral.
AUCCUACGGGGGGCAGCAGUCGGGAAUAUUGCGCAAUGGAGGAAACUCUGACGCAGUGACGCCGCGUAUAGGAAGAAGGUCUUCGGAUUGUAAACUAUUGUCGUUAGGGAAGAGAAAGGACAGUACCUAAGGAGGAAGCUCCGGCUAACUACGUGCCAGCAGCCGCGGUAAUACGUAGGGAGCGAGCGUUAUCCGGAUUUAUUGGGUGUAAAGGGUGCGUAGACGGGAAAAUAAGUUAGUUGUGAAAUCCCUCGGCUUAACUGAGGAACUGCAACUAAAACUGAUUUUCUUGAGUGUUGAAGAGG